This 81-nucleotide non-coding RNA is filed under the name unclassified sequences. RNAcentral's name for it is "Proteo-phage-1 RNA". It matches the Rfam family "Proteo-phage-1 RNA". The record is from Rfam by way of RNAcentral.
UCGCAGCCUAAGCGACCCGCGAGGGGCAUUAGGACAGGGUUGGUCGGUGAGUACCCUGAUUCGGAAAUAACCCCGACAGCU